Molecule: ribosomal RNA, 253 nt
Filed under: uncultured bacterium
Lineage: Bacteria
Description: partial 16S ribosomal RNA
Rfam family: Bacterial small subunit ribosomal RNA
Source: RNAcentral
UACGUAGGGGGCAAGCGUUGUCCGGAAUCAUUGGGCGUAAAGCGCGUGUAGGCGGCCCGGUAAGUCCGCUGUGAAAGUCGGGGGCUCAACCCUCGAAUGCCGGUGGAUACUGUCGGGCUAGAGUGCGGGAGAGGCGAGUGGAAUUCCUGGUGUAGCGGUGAAAUGCGCAGAUAUCAGGAGGAACACCGAUGGCGAAGGCAGCUUGCUGGGACGGUACUGACGCUGAGACGCGAAAGCGUGGGGAGCAAACAGG